UUUGACUUCUAUCAUAAAUUUGCUGCAGGACUCUGGAUAAAUACAAUGUUCAGUGUACUCUAGGUGACGGAGUGAUUAUAAACACAUCCACAUCACAUUACUGUUUCCAACAUCCGUAACAGUAAGAAAGAUUCAUAAGCCCACGGUAAAAUGGAGGCACAAAUCUUCUCAAUCUAGACAUGCUCAAGGUACAAGGAAAUGUGCUUAAUCAGAGAGCAAGCAUUGUAUAGCUGGAGAUGCUGCUCGAACUGAAAAGAGGGUAACACCUACUGUAGGAGAGGAUAAUCAAUGCUACAUUACUAUGAACAUCUCUGCACUUCUCUAACACUGGCAUAUUAGCAGGGUAGCAGUAUGCCCUAAAAU
RNAcentral lists this long non-coding RNA (363 nucleotides) under Numida meleagris (helmeted guineafowl). RNAcentral describes it as "lncRNA (ENSNMEG00000019228.1)". The record is from RNAcentral. Lineage: Eukaryota; Metazoa; Chordata; Aves; Galliformes; Numididae.